Molecule: ribosomal RNA, 293 nt
Filed under: uncultured bacterium
Lineage: Bacteria
Description: partial 16S ribosomal RNA
Rfam family: Bacterial small subunit ribosomal RNA
Source: RNAcentral
GUGCCAGCCGCCGCGGUAACACGUAGGGGGCGAGCGUUGUCCGGAUUUAUUGGGCGUAAAGAGCUCGUAGGCGGUUUCGUAAGUCGGGUGUGAAAACCCCAGGCUCAACCUGGAGACGCCACCCGAGACUGCGAUGACUAGAGUCCGGUAGGGGAGCGUGGAAUUCCUGGUGUAGCGGUGAAAUGCGCAGAUAUCAGGAGGAACACCAACGGCGAAGGCAGCGCUCUGGGCCGGAACUGACGCUGAGGAGCGAAAGCGUGGGUAGCGAACAGGAUUAGAUACCCCAGUAGUCC